ACUCAGCUCUGCAGCUGAGGAAAAACAAAGGAACUGGCAUUGCUUAGAUGUUUCUUGAAGUCGAUGUCAGGAACGUGGCAAGGAAGAAUUAACACCACUCUCUACCAAAGGCCAUACAACUGAAAGUCGAAACCCAAGAAUGGUCAAGAAAUUGUCAUAUUUUCUGCUGUUUAUAAAGGAAGUAGUGAAAGUACCACAUGCACACAAUGAAUAGCUGGCACAGAAUAGAAGAUGAAUAAGAGCAAACCACUGUGAGAGCUGCAUUCACCGCAUAAGGUUCCAGGUUCAAUCCCUGGCAUCUCCAGGGGCAGAGCUGUAAACCAGGAAGAAAGAAGUGUCAGCCAGAUGUUUUUUCCUAGGAUUGCUAAAUUGUGAACUAAUUGCUUGAUGUUCACAAUCAUCCGCUCUGACGGGCUUGGACCCGCAUGGAGCCACAAUGAGCAUCUACACUUGGGAGGGGCUGAGGUUGAACCUUUUGCUGCUGCUACUGGCCACCCAACUAGCUGGUGCAGAAAGAGACACCGGCGAGGAAGAUUCAGAGGGCCCCCCCUCAGAAGCAGGUCCUCCUGGCUAUGAGACCAGUCUCUGGAGCUAAGCAGACAAGACAGAGUGGGCCUCUGAUUUUCCCUAUUGUGGGGGUCACAUGGAGUCCCCCAUCAACAUCAACACGAUGGCCACUCUCUUUAGCCCCCAGCUAAAGCCCAUCUUGCUGUCUGAUCAUAUCACCUGCCCCCCAAAGAGAUGCUCCGCCUUCAGAACAAUGGACACACUGGCCCGCUGAGGCUUGAGUCCUGGAGCCUCGCAGCUGACAGACACUCAAACUGCCCCCCCCGGGAGGAAGGAGAGGCAAGAGAAAUGGCAGCAAGCCGCACCAAGGGAGCGAUAACCUUAUACCUGCUUGUCACCCUCCUCCAUGGUCAAGAUAAUUUCAGUUAUAAUUUCAGGAGGGUGGCUUACAGGCUUCCCUUGGUUAAUUUUGACUUUUAUACUGUGUUUAUGUAUAUAUUUAUGGAUAUGGAUAUUGUUUAUGUAUUUUGCUUUGUAAAUUAAUUUGAUAUGU
Rhineura floridana is the source of this 1060-nucleotide long non-coding RNA. RefSeq lists it as uncharacterized. Lineage: Eukaryota; Metazoa; Chordata; Lepidosauria; Squamata; Rhineuridae. The record is from RefSeq and is a predicted model, not a curated record. The transcript is spliced from 3 exons.